Molecule: ribosomal RNA, 497 nt
Filed under: uncultured bacterium
Lineage: Bacteria
Description: partial 16S ribosomal RNA
Rfam family: Bacterial small subunit ribosomal RNA
Source: RNAcentral
GAUGAACGCUGGCGGCGUGCCUAAUACAUGCAAGUCGAGCGAAUAGAUGAGGAGCUUGCUCCUCUGACGUUAGCGGCGGACGGGUGAGUAACACGUGGAUAACCUACCUAUAAGACUGGGAUAACUUCGGGAAACCGGAGCUAAUACCGGAUAAUAUAUUGAACCGCAUGGUUCAAUAGUGAAAGACGGUUUUGCUGUCACUUAUAGAUGGAUCCGCGCCGCAUUAGCUAGUUGGUAAGGUAACGGCUUACCAAGGCAACGAUGCGUAGCCGACCUGAGAGGGUGAUCGGCCACACUGGAACUGAGGCACGGUCCAGACUCCUACGGGAGGCAGCAGUAGGGAAUCUUCCGCAAUGGGCGAAAGCCUGACGGAGCAACGCCGCGUGAGUGAUGAAGGUCUUCGGAUCGUAAAACUCUGUUAUUAGGGAAGAACAAAUGUGUAAGUAACUAUGCACGUCUUGACGGUACCUAAUCAGAAUGCCACGGCUAACUACGUG